GGACCCGCACAAGCGGUGGAACAUGUGGUUUAAUUCGAUGCUACGCGAAAAACCUUACCAAGAUUUGACAUAUUAGUCGUAUGUCUAGGAAACUAGCAGUCAGUUCGGCUGGACUAUUACAGGUGCUGCAUGGCUGUCGUCAGCUCGUGUCGUGAGAUGUUGGGUUAAGUCCCGCAACGAGCGCAACCCUUAUCUUUAGUUGCCAUCAGGUUAAGCUGGGAACUUUAAGAAACUGCCAAUGGAGAAUUGGAGGAAGGUGAGGAUGACGUCAAGUCAGCAUGGCCCUUAUAUCUUGGGCUACACACGUGUUACAAUGGUAGUGACAAUGAGAUGCAAUAGGGCGACCUUGAGCAAAUCUAUAAAAACUAUCUCAGUUCGGAUUGCACCCUGCAACUCGGGUGCAUGAAGUUGGAAUCGCUAGUAA
Molecule: ribosomal RNA, 424 nt
Filed under: uncultured bacterium
Lineage: Bacteria
Description: bacterial SSU rRNA
Rfam family: Bacterial small subunit ribosomal RNA
Source: RNAcentral